This 86-nucleotide transfer RNA is filed under the name Planctomycetia bacterium. Its description in RNAcentral is "tRNA-Leu". It matches the Rfam family "tRNA". Rfam says of the family: Transfer RNA (tRNA) molecules are approximately 80 nucleotides in length. Their secondary structure includes four short double-helical elements and three loops (D, anti-codon, and T loops). The record is from RNAcentral. Lineage: Bacteria; Pseudomonadati; Planctomycetota; Planctomycetia.
GCCGAAGUGGCGGAAUUGGCAGACGCGCUAGGUUCAGGUCCUAGUCUUCGUAACUGGAGGUGGAGGUUCGAGUCCUCUCUUCGGCA